RNA transcript from Bombyx mori (domestic silkworm), 841 nucleotides. RefSeq lists it as uncharacterized. Lineage: Eukaryota; Metazoa; Arthropoda; Insecta; Lepidoptera; Bombycidae. The transcript has 5 exons. The record is from RefSeq and is marked provisional.
CUGUAACUUUUGACAUCUGUCAAAAUCAUCAAGUAUGGCCUAGAACUACAAAAUAAAUUGAAACGAUUCCAAUCAACCAUGCCCACAAAGUGACGAAUAGCAUUAACCAAAAAAAAAAAAAAAUACAUUCCCUAUUUAACCUUAGGGUACAAUAGCGUAAACAAAAAUUGUGUCACUAACGAAAAUGGGUAAGGUGCCUUAUUUGUCCGAUUCCGAAGCCACGGACGACACCUGCAGCUCAUACGAGAACGGGAGUCGGAAAAAGAAAUUCUCCAUACUGAAAUGCACGACCGGUAAUAUAAAGAAGAAGAAAUGUAAGGUCCACAGCAAGUCGGAACCCGACGACUCGGACUACCGCAGCCGGACUAGGAGCAGGAGCAGAAGUGGUAACCGAGUGAGAUACAAACUACCAGGGAUCCUCAAGCGCGACAAGGAUGGAGCAUCUUCAGACGACGACGAAGAAAGCGAAGUGCUAAGACCCAAGUCUCAAGAUAGAUGUCUCGUCGGUCGAGUGCCCAGACCGGCUGGGGCGAAGCCCGGUCGUGGCGGAGGCGUCGCUAUCGUUGUCAAGAGGAACGUCAGCAAAAGGGAGAGCCGUCGUCCCUGGGACAUCAGCGCUCUAAACUACUGAGCUAACGAGCCAUUUGUUUGGGGGGAUGAAAAGCAAGAAUUGUUCCCUUGGAAUUUAGAAUCACAAAAAAAAGAAAGAACAGAUUUCCAAGUCUCCAGCCCCAAGCAUCGACUAGCAUCCCCAAGCACAAGAGAUCGUCGCGGCGACAGCUUUCCAAGAAACUGUCUUAUUAGUAGACGUUGCAAUCAACGAAUAAAGCGGUAAAGAAGC